GAUCCUGCUCAGGAUGAACGCUAGCGACAGGCCUAACACAUGCAAGUCGAGGGGCAGCGGGGAGGUAGCAAUACCUUUGCCGGCGACCGGCGCACGGGUGAGUAACACGUAUGCAAUCCACCUGUAACAGGGGGAUAACCCGGAGAAAUCCGGACUAAUACCCCAUAAUAUGGGCGCUCCGCAUGGAGAGCCCAUUAAAGAGAGCAAUUUUGGUUACAGACGAGCAUGCGCUCCAUUAG
RNAcentral lists this ribosomal RNA (239 nucleotides) under uncultured bacterium. RNAcentral's name for it is "partial 16S ribosomal RNA". It matches the Rfam family "Bacterial small subunit ribosomal RNA", at positions 15 to 244 of the family's 1533-position model. The record is from RNAcentral.